This is a non-coding RNA of Enhygromyxa salina, 72 nucleotides long. The record is from Rfam. Lineage: Bacteria; Pseudomonadati; Myxococcota; Nannocystales; Nannocystaceae.
AGGGCUGUAGCUCAGGGGUAGAGCGCUACCUUGACACGGUAGAGGCCGGCGGUUCAAAGCCGCCCAGCCCUA